GCCCAGUGCUCUGAAUGUAAACGUGAAGAGAUUCAUCAAAGCGCGGGUAAACAACGGGAGUAACUAUGACUCUCUUGGUGCCCCUUGUUUACGUAC
RNAcentral lists this ribosomal RNA (96 nucleotides) under Ixodes scapularis (black-legged tick). RNAcentral's name for it is "eukaryotic large subunit ribosomal RNA". It matches the Rfam family "Eukaryotic large subunit ribosomal RNA", at positions 2200 to 2302 of the family's 3401-position model. Lineage: Eukaryota; Metazoa; Arthropoda; Arachnida; Ixodida; Ixodidae. The record is from RNAcentral.